GGCGGCCCUGCUCCUCUCACUGCUGUGGCUGAUGGAGGAGGAGCAUGUCUCUGUACCAUGCUCGGAGCAUGGUACAGAGACAUGCUCCUCCUCCAUCAGCCACAGGAGCAUGUCUCU
This 117-nucleotide microRNA precursor is filed under the name Pelobates cultripes (western spadefoot toad). The record is from RNAcentral. Lineage: Eukaryota; Metazoa; Chordata; Amphibia; Anura; Pelobatidae.